RNAcentral lists this transfer RNA (68 nucleotides) under Rattus norvegicus (Norway rat). It matches the Rfam family "tRNA". From Rfam's summary of the family: Transfer RNA (tRNA) molecules are approximately 80 nucleotides in length. Their secondary structure includes four short double-helical elements and three loops (D, anti-codon, and T loops). Further hydrogen bonds mediate the characteristic L-shaped molecular structure. tRNAs have two regions of fundamental functional importance: the anti-codon, which is responsible for specific mRNA codon recognition, and the 3' end, to which the tRNAs corresponding amino acid is attached (by aminoacyl-tRNA synthetases). tRNAs cope with the degeneracy of the genetic code in two manners: having more than one tRNA (with a specific anti-codon) for a particular amino acid; and 'wobble' base-pairing, i.e. permitting non-standard base-pairing at the 3rd anti-codon position. Lineage: Eukaryota; Metazoa; Chordata; Mammalia; Rodentia; Muridae. The record is from Rfam by way of RNAcentral.
GGGGAUUUAGCUCAGUGGUAGAGCGCUUGCCUAGCGCAAGGCCCUGAGUUCAAACUCCACAGUCCCUG